UACGUAGGGUGCACGCGUUAAUCGGAAUUACUGGGCGUAAAGCGUGCGCAGGCGGUUAUGCAAGACAGAUGUGAAAUCCCCGGGCUCAACCUGGGAACUGCAUUUGUGACUGCAUAGCUAGAGUGCGGCAGAGGGAGAUGGAAUUCCGCGUGUAGCAGUGAAAUGCGUAGAUAUGCGGAGGAACACCGAUGGCGAAGGCAAUCUCCUGGGCCUGCACUGACGCUCAUGCACGAAAGCGUGGGGAGCAAACAGG
RNAcentral lists this ribosomal RNA (253 nucleotides) under uncultured bacterium. Its description in RNAcentral is "partial 16S ribosomal RNA". It matches the Rfam family "Bacterial small subunit ribosomal RNA", at positions 524 to 776 of the family's 1533-position model. The record is from RNAcentral.